GACGAACGCUGGCGGCGUGCUUAACACAUGCAAGUCGAACGGAAAGGCCCUGCUUUUGUGGGGUGCUCGAGUGGCGAACGGGUGAGUAACACGUGAGUAACCUGCCCUUGACUUUGGGAUAACUUCAGGAAACUGGGGCUAAUACCGGAUAGGAGCUCCUGCUGCAUGGUGGGGGUUGGAAAGUUUCGGCGGUUGGGGAUGGACUCGCGGCUUAUCAGCUUGUUGGUGGGGUAGUGGCUUACCAAGGCUUUGACGGGUAGCCGGCCUGAGAGGGUGACCGGCGACAUUGGGACUGAGAUACGGCCCAGACUCCUACGGGAGGCAGCAGGGGGGAAGAUUGCACAAGGGGCGGAAGCCUGAUGCAGCAACGCCGCGUGCGGGAUGACGGCGUUCGGGUUGUAAACCGCUUUCGCCUGUGACGAAGCGUGAGUGACGGGAAUGGGUAAAGAAGCACCGGCUAACUAAGUG
RNAcentral lists this ribosomal RNA (468 nucleotides) under uncultured bacterium. RNAcentral describes it as "partial 16S ribosomal RNA". It matches the Rfam family "Bacterial small subunit ribosomal RNA", at positions 28 to 507 of the family's 1533-position model. The record is from RNAcentral.